CAAGACCUUGCGCUUUUGGAGCGGCCGAUGCCUGAUUAGCUAGUUGGUGAGGUAAAGGCUUACCAAGGCUUCGAUCAGUAGCUGGUCUGAGAGGACGACCAGCCACACUGGGACUGAGACACGGCCCAGACUCCUACGGGAGGCAGCAGUGGGGAAUUUUGGACAAUGGGGGAAACCCUGAUCCAGCCAUGCCGCGUGAGUGAAGAAGGCCUCCGGGUUGUAAAGCUCUUUCAGCCGGAACGAAAAGGUUACGGCUAAUACCCGUGACAAAUGACGGUACCGGAAGAAGAAGCACCGGCUAACUACGUGCCAGCAGCCGCGGUAAUGCGUAGGGGGCAAUCGUUAAUCGGAAUUACUGGGCGUAAAGCGUGCGCAGGCGGUCUUGUAAGUCAGAUGAGAAAUCCCCGGGCUUAACCUGGGAACU
This 424-nucleotide ribosomal RNA is filed under the name uncultured Nitrosospira sp. RNAcentral's name for it is "bacterial SSU rRNA". It matches the Rfam family "Bacterial small subunit ribosomal RNA", at positions 207 to 622 of the family's 1533-position model. Lineage: Bacteria; Pseudomonadati; Pseudomonadota; Betaproteobacteria; Nitrosomonadales; Nitrosomonadaceae. The record is from RNAcentral.